This 311-nucleotide ribosomal RNA is filed under the name Delftia sp. AG(2010). Its description in RNAcentral is "bacterial SSU rRNA". It matches the Rfam family "Bacterial small subunit ribosomal RNA", at positions 202 to 505 of the family's 1533-position model. The record is from RNAcentral. Lineage: Bacteria; Pseudomonadati; Pseudomonadota; Betaproteobacteria; Burkholderiales; Comamonadaceae.
ACCUUCGGGCCUCGCGCGAUUGGAGCGGCCGAUGGCAGAUUAGGUAGUUGGUGGGAUAAAAGCUUACCAAGCCGACGAUCUGUAGCUGGUCUGAGAGGACGACCAGCCACACUGGGACUGAGACACGGCCCAGACUCCUACGGGAGGCAGCAGUGGGGAAUUUUGGACAAUGGGCGAAAGCCUGAUCCAGCAAUGCCGCGUGCAGGAUGAAGGCCUUCGGGUUGUAAACUGCUUUUGUACGGAACGAAAAAGCUCCUUCUAAUACAGGGGGCCCAUGACGGUACCGUAAGAAUAAGCACCGGCUAACUACG